Molecule: ribosomal RNA, 394 nt
Filed under: uncultured bacterium
Lineage: Bacteria
Description: partial 16S ribosomal RNA
Rfam family: Bacterial small subunit ribosomal RNA
Source: RNAcentral
CCUACGGGGUGCAGCAGUGAGGAAUAUUGGUCAAUGGACGCAAGCCUGAACCAGCCAUGCCGCGUGCAGGAAGACGGCUCUAUGUGUUGUAAACUGCUUUUGUACGAGGGUAAACGCCGAUACGUGUCUCUGUCUGAAAGUAUCGUACGAUUAAGGAUCGGCUAACUCCGUGCCAGCAGCCGCGGUAAUACGGAGGAUCCAAGCGUUAUCCGGAUUUAUUGGGUUUAAAGGGUGCGUAGGCGGAUGGAUAAGUUAGAGGUGAAAUCCCGAGGCUCAACUUCGGAAUUGCCUCUGAUACUGUUCGGCUGGAGAGUAGGAGCGGUAGGCGGAAUGUAUGGUGUAGCGGUGAAAUGCUUAGAGAUCAUACAGAACACCGAUUGCGAAGGCAGCUUAC